GACGAACGCUGGCGGCGUGCCUAACACAUGCAAGUCGAACGGAAAGGCCCUGCCUUUGUGGGGUGCUCGAGUGGCGAACGGGUGAGUAACACGUGAGUAACCUGCCCUUGACUUUGGGAUAACCUCAGGAAACUGGGGCUAUUACCCGAUAGGAGCUCCUGCUGCAUGGUGGGGGCUGGAAAGUUCCGGCGGUUGGGGAUGGACUCGCGGCUUAUCGGCUUGUUGGUGGGGUAGUGGCUUACCAAGGCUUUGACGGGUAGCCGGCCUGAGAGGGUGACCGGCCACAUUAGGACUGAGAUACGGCCCAGACUCGUACGGGAGGCAACAGUGGGGAGUAUUACACAAUGGGCGGGAGCCUGAUACAGCAACGCCGCGUGCGGGAUGACGGCCUUCGGGUUGUGAACCGCUUUCGCCUGUGACGAAGCGUGAGUGACGGUAAUGGGUAAAGAAGCACCGGCUAACUACGUG
RNAcentral lists this ribosomal RNA (468 nucleotides) under uncultured bacterium. Its description in RNAcentral is "partial 16S ribosomal RNA". It matches the Rfam family "Bacterial small subunit ribosomal RNA", at positions 28 to 507 of the family's 1533-position model. The record is from RNAcentral.